UACAGAGGGUGCGAGCGUUACUCGGAAUUACUGGGCGUAAAGCGCACGUAGGCGGCUUGGUAUGUCGGGUGUGAAAUCCCCGGGCUCAACCUGGGAACUGCAUCCGAAACUGCCUUGCUAGAGUAUGGGAGAGGGAAGUGGAAUUUCCGGUGUAGCGGUGAAAUGCGUAGAUAUCGGAAGGAACAUCAGUGGCGAAGGCGACUUCCUGGACCAGUACUGACGCUCAGGUGCGAAAGCGUGGGGAGCAAACAGG
RNAcentral lists this ribosomal RNA (253 nucleotides) under uncultured bacterium. RNAcentral's name for it is "partial 16S ribosomal RNA". It matches the Rfam family "Bacterial small subunit ribosomal RNA", at positions 524 to 776 of the family's 1533-position model. The record is from RNAcentral.